UGGGGAAUUUUGGACAAUGGGGGCAACCCUGAUCCAGCCAUGCCGCGUGCGGGAAGAAGGCCUUCGGGUUGUAAACCGCUUUUGUUCGGGAAGAAAUCCUCUGGGCUAAUACCCCGGGGGGAUGACGGUACCGGAAGAAUAAGCACCGGCUAACUACGUGCCAGCAGCCGCGGUAAUACGUAGGGUGCGAGCGUUAAUCGGAAUUACUGGGCGUAAAGCGUGCGCAGGCGGUUGUGCAAGACAGAUGUGAAAUCCCCGGGCUUAACCUGGGAACUGCAUUUGUGACUGCAUGGCUAGAGUGCGGCAGAGGGGAGUGGAAUUCCGCGUGUAGCAGUGAAAUGCGUAGAUAUGCGGAGGAACACCGAUGGCGAAGGCAGCUCCCUGGGCCUGCACUGACGCUCAUGCACGAAAGCGUGGGGAGCAAACAGG
This 429-nucleotide ribosomal RNA is filed under the name uncultured Comamonadaceae bacterium. RNAcentral's name for it is "bacterial SSU rRNA". It matches the Rfam family "Bacterial small subunit ribosomal RNA", at positions 355 to 776 of the family's 1533-position model. The record is from RNAcentral. Lineage: Bacteria; Pseudomonadati; Pseudomonadota; Betaproteobacteria; Burkholderiales; Comamonadaceae.